RNAcentral lists this long non-coding RNA (3201 nucleotides) under Zea mays. RNAcentral describes it as "long non-coding RNA (ZMAY_LNC002055)". Lineage: Eukaryota; Viridiplantae; Streptophyta; Magnoliopsida; Poales; Poaceae. The record is from RNAcentral.
GGGAGGAAGGAGACUUGCUUAACAUCAUAAAAUCUAAGGAGAAUGAGGUCAAAACAUUGUCUAGUGAGAAGCAAACUAUUGAAGAGGAGAGAGAUAACCUGAAGAUGUCAGUUGUAGACAUGAAGAAGGAGAUGGAAGAUCUGAGCAAUCAGCUCAAAGAUACAGUGGAUAAAUGCAGCGUCAUGGCAUCAGAACUAGAGAAGUCCCUGAAGGCUGAGAAAGAAGUGCAGACCUUGUUUGAAGAAAACCAGAACCUGAAGAACCAUAACUUGAUGCUGUCGGUGGAGCAUGAUAACCUGAAAGCACUUCAUCAUAACUUAGAUAUUGAGUGCUGUCAACUGAAGGCAACCAUUGCAGAAACCAAAGCUGAAAAUGAAUCAUUGACCACAGAAAAUCAUUCAGCUGAAAGAAAACUCCAGCAAUUGAGGGUAGAAAUAGAUGGCUUGAUGGCUGAGACCACAGUGAUAAUGAACAAUCUGGACAAGGAACGUAGUACUGCAGCAGAAGAAAAAGAAAGGCUAACAUCAGAAAAUUCUGUAUACAUGAGUGAGUUAGAGGAGGCACAAUCUAAUGUUAAGGAUCUAGAAAAGGAACUGGAGUCAACAAAAAGUGUUCUCAAUAAUCGUAUUGCGGAGCUAUGUAAGGAGAAGAAUUCUACCACAUCAGAGAUAGAACGGCUAGAGGCUUCUUUGAUGAAUCAUCAGAACGAUCUGUCACAACAACUUGAUAGGAUUUCAGAUAUGCAGAAGACUACUGAAAACCUGGAGCUGGCAAAUUCUAACCUGCAUAAUGAGAUUGUAAAAGUACAAGGACAAAAGAAUGAAGCUGUUGCUUCUAUAGUUAAUCUCGAGAGCAUGUUAGAACAGCAAGUACAAGAGAUUGCAAAUCUUCAGGAGGCCAACAAAGAACUCAAAGCAGCAAAGACUGAUCUACAUAAUGAGGUUAUGUUACUUCAACAGGAGAAAAUUGUAGCACUGACUCAGUUACAAGAAUAUGAGGCUCAAAUCAAGAAUCUUCGAAUUGACUUGGAACAGCAGUGCAACCAAAUUUCAGUUAUGCAGCAAGCAAAUGAAGAAACACAGGAUAAAAAUUCUAGCUUGCACAAGCAACUGGAAGAAACUAGGAUUCAUCUGCAAGAGGAGAUCAUUGCAUUACAAGGAGAGAAGGAAGAGGCCAUCAGUAGCUUACAGCAGUCAAAUGAUUCACUCAAGACCCUAGAAGUCCAGUUAGAGCAGCAAAGAGAACAAAUUUCUGUUCUGCAGCUUGCUCAUGAAGACUUGCAAAAUAGCAAUUCCAACCUAGAGAUGCAAUUGGAAGAGGCGAAGGUUAGUCACCAUGCUGAAAUUCUAGCAUUACAAGAUGAAAAGAACAAGAUUAUUUCAGAGUUGCAGCAGUCAGAUGGUUGUAUCAAGAACCUUAGAUUUGAGUUGGAGCAAGGAAAAGAGCAAACCUCAAUCUUGCUUCAUGCUAAUGAAGAUAUGAAGAAUAACAUUUCUGUCUUGGACAAGCAAUUGGAAGAGGUCAGGAGCAGUUUGCAUGCUGAAAUUGCAGAAGUACGUGCAGAGAAGGAGACAGCUCUAUCAGAGUUACAUAUGUCUCAGACUUCCAUCAGGAACUUAGAGAGUGUGGUAGAAAAGCAAACUGAGAACAUUUUAACUCUAGAAAAAGCUAAUGAUAAGUUAAACAAUAAAAUAUGUAUCUUGACAGAGCAAGUAGAACAAGCCAAGGCUGAGCUGCAUAAGGAGGUAGCGGCAAUACAAGAAGAGAAGGAUACAGCACUAACACAAUUAAGACAGUCAGAGUUUUCAAUACAAGAUCUUGAGAAUGAGGUGACACGACUGAAAGACGAACUUUCAAUUCAGCUGGAAAAAAAUUCCACCUUGGACAAGCAAUUUGAAGAAUUCAAGAGCAAGCUGCAUGCUGAAAUUUUAGACCUACGCGCAGAGAAGGACACAUCUCUAUUGGAGUUACAGACAUCUCAGGAUUCUGUAAGGAAUCUUGAGAUUCUGGUUGAAAAGCAAACUGAGAACAUUUCAACUCUGCACCAAGCUAAUGAUGAGUUACAGAAGAACAUCUACACUUUGACUGAGCAAUCACAACAAGCCAAGGAGGAGAUGCAGGAUGAGUUGAAGGCAAUACAAGAAGAGAAGGAUACAGUGCUAACACAACUGAAGCAGUCAGAGACUUCAGUACAAAAUCUAGAGGAUGAGGUGACACGACUGAAAGAGGAACUUUCCGUCCAGCUAGAAAACAAUUCCACCUUGGACAAGCAGUUUGCAGAAGCUAGGAGCAAUCUGCAUGCUGAAAUUUCAGACCUACGUGCAGAGAAGGGCACAUCUCUACUGGAGUUACAGAUGUCUCAGGCUUCUGUCAGGAAUCUUGAGAUUUUGGUCGGAAAGCAAACUGAGAACAUUUCAACUCUACAGCAAGCUAAUGAAGAGUUACAAAAGAACAUCUACACUUUGACUGAGCAAUCACAACAGGUCAAGGUGGAGAUGCAAAGUGAUUUGAAGGCAAUACAAGAAGAGAAGAAUGCGGUGCUAUCACAACUGAAGCAGUCAGAAACUUCAGUACAAAAUCUUGAGAAUGAGGUGAUACGACUGAAAGAGGAGCUUUCUGUCCAGCUAGAAAACAAUUCCACCUUGGACAAGCAGUUUGAAGAAGCCAGGAGCAAUCUGCAUGCUGAAAUUUCAGAGCUACGUGCAGAUAAGAACACAUCUCUAUUGAAAUUACAGACGUCUCAGGAUUCUGUCAGGAAUCUUGAGAUUGUGGUUGAAAAGCAAACUGAGAACAUUUCAACUCUACAGCAAGCUAAUGAUGAGUUACAGAAGAACAUCUACACUUUGACGGAGCAAUCACAACGAGACAAGGCGGAGAUGCAGGAUGAGUUGAAGGCAAUACAAGAAGAUAAGGAUGCAGUGCUAACACAACUGAAGCAGUCAGAGACUUCAGUACAAAAUCUAGAGGAUGAGUUGACACGACUGAAAGAGGAGCUUUCCGUCCAGCUAGAAAACAAUUCCACCUUGGACAAGCAGUUUGCAGAAGCCAGGAGCAAUCUGCAUGCUGAAAUUUCAGACCUACAUACAGAGAAGGACACAUCUCUACGGGAAUUACAGACGUCUCAGGCUUGUGUCAGGAAUCUUGAGAUUGUGGUUGAAAAGCAAACUGAGAACAUUUCAACUCUACAGCAAGCUAAUGAUG